This 397-nucleotide ribosomal RNA is filed under the name uncultured bacterium. RNAcentral's name for it is "partial 16S ribosomal RNA". It matches the Rfam family "Bacterial small subunit ribosomal RNA", at positions 523 to 918 of the family's 1533-position model. The record is from RNAcentral.
AUACGUAGGGGGCAAGCGUUAUCCGGAUUUACUGGGGGUAAAGGGAGCGUAGACGGCAUGGCAAGUCUGAAGUGAAAGCCCGAGGCUCAACCACGGGACUGCUUUGGAAACUGUUAAGCUAGAGUGCAGGAGAGGUAAGGGGAAUUCCUAGUGUAGCGGGGAAAUGCGUAGAUAUUAGGAGGAACACCGGUGGCGAAGGCGGCUUACUGGACUGUAACUGACGUUGAGGCUCGCAAGCGUGGGGAGCAAACAGGAUUAGAUACCCUGGUAGUCCACGCUGUAAACGAUGAUUACUAGGUGUUGGGGACCUAUAGGUCUUCGGUGCCGCAGCAAACGCAAUAAGUAAUCCACCUGGGGAGUACGUUCGCAAGAAUGAAACUCAAAUGAAUUGACGGGG